RNAcentral lists this ribosomal RNA (440 nucleotides) under uncultured bacterium. RNAcentral describes it as "partial 16S ribosomal RNA". It matches the Rfam family "Bacterial small subunit ribosomal RNA", at positions 338 to 795 of the family's 1533-position model. The record is from RNAcentral.
CCUACGGGAGGCAGCAGUGGGGAAUAUUGCACAAUGGGGGAAACCCUGAUGCAGCGACGCCGCGUGAGUGAAGAAGACAUUCGUUAUGUAAAGCUCUAUCAGCAGGGAAGAAAAUGACGGUACCUGAGUAAGAAGCCCCGGCUAACUACGUGCCAGCAGCCGCGGUAAUACGUAGGGGGCAAGCGUUAUCCGGAUUUACUGGGGGGAAAGGGAGCGUAGACGGCAGUGCAAGUCUGGAGUGAAAGGCGGGGGCUCAACCCCCGGACUGCUCUUGAAACUGUACGGCUGGAGUGCAGGAGAGGUAAGCGGAAUUCCUAGUGUAGCGGUGAAAUGCGUAGAUAUUAGGAGGAACACCAGUGGCGAAGGCGGCUUACUGGACUGUAACUGACGUUGAGGCUCGAAAGCGUGGGGAGCAAACAGGAUUAGAUACCCGAGUAGUC